UUUCUUAACGUUUAUGGGCGUAUAAUGAUUUCGUUGCUAAGGCAAAUAUAAUGAUAAACGUCGCGAUUAAUAGAUGAUGUGGACUCGGGGGCGGAGCCCGACAUCUCCACCAUAUUAAGGGGAUGAAUAGAUUCGACGCACAUUGAAAAGCGCGAUUUUCAUUCGUGGUGGUUUACGUCAUAGAACCGAAAAUAUAAAUGCGAACGAUAACUUUGUCGCAUGCAACGAUAAUUUUGUUGGCGAGGCAGUUGCUAUUGCCGCUUAAUUAAGUAGACGCGGUUCGGGGGAGCCGGGCAACAGAAAUCCCCCGCA
This 312-nucleotide transfer-messenger RNA is filed under the name Holosporaceae bacterium. It matches the Rfam family "Alphaproteobacteria transfer-messenger RNA". Rfam says of the family: Bacterial tmRNA, also known as 10Sa RNA or SsrA, is named for its dual tRNA and mRNA-like properties. Its role is to liberate the mRNA from a stalled ribosome. The record is from RNAcentral. Lineage: Bacteria; Pseudomonadati; Pseudomonadota; Alphaproteobacteria; Holosporales; Holosporaceae.